This 513-nucleotide ribosomal RNA is filed under the name uncultured bacterium. Its description in RNAcentral is "partial 16S ribosomal RNA". It matches the Rfam family "Bacterial small subunit ribosomal RNA", at positions 28 to 523 of the family's 1533-position model. The record is from RNAcentral.
GAUGAACGCUGGCGGCGUGCCUAAUACAUGCAAGUCGAGCGAACAGACGAGGAGCUUGCUCCUUUGACGUUAGCGGCGGACGGGUGAGUAACACGUGGGUAACCUACCUAUAAGACUGGGAUGACUUCGGGAAACCGGAGCUAAUACCGGAUAAUAUUUCGAACCGCAUGGUUCGAUAGUGAAAGAUGGCUCUGCUAUCCCUUAUAGAUGGACCUGCGCCGGAUUGGAUAGUUGGUAAGGUAACGGCUUACCAAGGCAACGAUACGUAGCCGACCUGAGAGGGUGAUCGGCCACACUGGAACUGAGACACGGUCCAGACUCCUACGGGAGGCAGCAGUAGGGAAUCUUCCGCAAUGGGCGAAAGCCUGACGGAGCAACGCCGCGUGAGUGAUGAAGGUCUUCGGAUCGUAAAACUCUGUUAUUAGGGAAGAACAGACGUGUAAGUAACUGUGCACGUCUUGACGGUACCUAAUCAGAAAGCCACGGCUAACUACGUGCCAGCCGCCGCCGUAA